UAAUGGCAGGUCAGCAUACUGCCGUGAAUACGUUCCCGGGCCUUGUACACACCGCCCGUCGCACCAUGAGAGUUGGGAAUACCCGAAGCCUGUGAGCUAACUAUAUGAGGCAGCAGUCGAAGGUAGAAUCAAUGAUUGGGGUGAAGUCGUAACAAGGUACC
Molecule: ribosomal RNA, 161 nt
Filed under: uncultured bacterium
Lineage: Bacteria
Description: partial 16S ribosomal RNA
Rfam family: Bacterial small subunit ribosomal RNA
Source: RNAcentral